GCCCUGGUGGCACAACGGUUAAGCAUUUGGCUGCUAACUGAAAGGUUGAUGGUUCAAACCCACCCAGUGGCU
Transfer RNA from Loxodonta africana (African savanna elephant), 72 nucleotides. It matches the Rfam family "tRNA". From Rfam's summary of the family: Transfer RNA (tRNA) molecules are approximately 80 nucleotides in length. Their secondary structure includes four short double-helical elements and three loops (D, anti-codon, and T loops). The record is from Rfam. NCBI's taxonomy places the organism in Eukaryota, Metazoa, Chordata, Mammalia, Proboscidea, Elephantidae.